Long non-coding RNA from Arabidopsis lyrata subsp. lyrata, 628 nucleotides. RefSeq lists it as uncharacterized. Lineage: Eukaryota; Viridiplantae; Streptophyta; Magnoliopsida; Brassicales; Brassicaceae. The transcript has 2 exons. The record is from RefSeq and is a predicted model, not a curated record.
GGGGGUUUCAUUGGAGAUGCUUCCGGAAGGCUCUGGGCAUAGAUACAAGACACUAUAACGCCUGGUUCGGUCUUGGAAGGAUCUAUCUUUGUCAGGAGAAAUUCGAGUUUGCGCAGCAUCAAUUUCAACUGGCUCUCCAAAUAAAUCCAAGAUCUUCAGUCAUCAUGUGUUACUAUGGAAUUGCUUUGCAUGAGUCAAAGAGGAACAAUGAGGCGUUGAGGAUGAUGGAGAAGGCUGUACUCACUGAUGCGAAGAAUCCGGUCGCGAAGUACUUCAAAGCUAAUAUAUUAAAUAGUCUCGGUGAUUAUCACAAAGCCCAGAAAGUUUUAGAAGAGCUCAAAGAAUGUUUUCCUCAAGAGGGCAGCGUCCAUGCGUUGCUUGGCAAAACAUACAAUCAGCUAAAACAAUACGACAAAGCCCUGUUACAUUUCGGCAUUGCUUUGGAUUUAAGCUCUUCUCUAUCUGUUGACAUUCUCACAUUCUCUUUAUUUCUCACACUUGGUUUCAUUGUCUUUAGAGAGAAAGAACAAAAACCAUUACUCUUUAAUUGUCUACAUUGUAUUAAUGGAUCACAAGGAUACUUUUGUUACAUCACACAUACAAGCAUACUUAUACUACUUUACUUCUA